AUUGAACGCUGGCGGCAGGCCUAACACAUGCAAGUCGAGCGAGCGGCGGACGGGUGAGUAAUGUACGGGGACUGCCCGAUCGCGGGGGAGAACUACUGGAAACGGUAGCUAAUACCGCAUACUAUCGGAUAACCCAUAUGGGAUUAGCUAGUAGGUGAGGGAAUGGCUCACCUAGGCGACGAUCCCUAGCUGGUCUGAGUGGAUGAUCAGCCACACUGGGGCUGAGACAGGGCCCAGACUCCUACGGAGGCAGCAGGGGGGAAUAUUGCACAAUGAACGCAAGCCUGAUGCAGCCAGGCCGCGUGUAUGAAGAAGGCCCUAGGGUUGUAAAGUACUUUCAGUCGGGAGGCGUUACCGACAGAAGAAGCACCGGCUAACUCCGUGCCAGCAGCCGCGGUAAUAC
RNAcentral lists this ribosomal RNA (403 nucleotides) under uncultured bacterium. RNAcentral describes it as "partial 16S ribosomal RNA". It matches the Rfam family "Bacterial small subunit ribosomal RNA", at positions 30 to 526 of the family's 1533-position model. The record is from RNAcentral.